GACGAACGCUGGCGGCGUGCUUAACACAUGCCAGUCGAACGAUGAAGCCUAGCUUGCUGGGUGGAUUAGUGGCGAACGGGUGAGUAACACGUGAGUAACCUGCCCCUUACUCUGGGAUAAGCGCUGGAAACGGCGUCUAAUACUGGAUAUUACCUUUCAUCGCAUGGUGUUUGGUGGAAAGAUUUUUCGGUUUGGGAUGGACUCGCGGCCUAUCAGCUUGAUGGUGAGGUAGUGGCUCACCAUGGCGACGACGGGUAGCCGGCCUGAGAGGGUGACCGGCCACACUGGGACUGAGACACGGCCCAGACUCCUACGGGAGGCAGCAGUGGGGAAUAUUGCACAAUGGGCGCAAGCCUGAUGCAGCAACGCCGCGUGAGGGAUGACGGCCUUCGGGUUGUAAACCUCUUUUAGUAGGGAAGAAGCGUAAGUGACGGUACCUACAGAAAAAGCACCGGCUAACUACGUG
Molecule: ribosomal RNA, 466 nt
Filed under: uncultured bacterium
Lineage: Bacteria
Description: partial 16S ribosomal RNA
Rfam family: Bacterial small subunit ribosomal RNA
Source: RNAcentral